RNAcentral lists this signal recognition particle RNA (265 nucleotides) under Chloroflexota bacterium. RNAcentral describes it as "Chloroflexi bacterium (anaerobic digester metagenome) signal recognition particle sRNA large type". It matches the Rfam family "Bacterial large signal recognition particle RNA". From Rfam's summary of the family: The signal recognition particle (SRP) is a universally conserved ribonucleoprotein involved in the co-translational targeting of proteins to membranes. Lineage: Bacteria; Bacillati; Chloroflexota. The record is from RNAcentral.
UCGUGCUAGAUGGGGAGCCAGCGGUGCCCUGUAACCCGCAAUCCGCUACAGCGGGGUCGAAUUCCCUUUCUAGGGCCUGCGGUCAACAGGACUGCCUGCCGGUGAGCGUGGAUGGUUGGGUCCUGUGCGGCGGGAGCCUGUGAACUGGGUCAGGAUCGGAAGGUAGCAGCCCUAAGCGGUUACUUCUGGGUGUCACGGGGUUGCCUGGCCUGAGCAAGCCGGACGUGUGCAAGCUGAGUGACGAGGUUCGAAACUGGGUGCACGA